Molecule: ribosomal RNA, 332 nt
Filed under: Vibrio sp. V14_P6S14T42
Lineage: Bacteria; Pseudomonadati; Pseudomonadota; Gammaproteobacteria; Vibrionales; Vibrionaceae
Description: bacterial LSU rRNA
Rfam family: Bacterial large subunit ribosomal RNA
Source: RNAcentral
CGUGAGACAGUUCGGUCCCUAUCUGCCGUGGGCGUUGGAAGAUUGAAGGGGGCUGCUCCUAGUACGAGAGGACCGGAGUGGACGAACCGCUGGUGUUCGGGUUGUCAUGCCAAUGGCAUUGCCCGGUAGCUAAGUUCGGAAUUGAUAAGCGCUGAAAGCAUCUAAGCGCGAAGCGAGCCCUGAGAUGAGUCUUCCCUGGCACUUUAAGUGUCCUAAAGGGUUGUUCGAGACUAGAACGUUGAUAGGUUGGGUGUGUAAGCGCUGCGAGGCGUUGAGCUAACCAAUACUAAUUGCCCGUGAGGCUUAACCAUACAACACCGAAGGGGUUUUGU